UAUAGCUUAGUGGUAGAGUGCAUGCCUAACAUGCAGGAGGUCCUGGGUUCAAUCCUCAGUA
This 61-nucleotide transfer RNA is filed under the name Camelus bactrianus (Bactrian camel). It matches the Rfam family "tRNA", at positions 6 to 65 of the family's 71-position model. Rfam says of the family: Transfer RNA (tRNA) molecules are approximately 80 nucleotides in length. Their secondary structure includes four short double-helical elements and three loops (D, anti-codon, and T loops). Further hydrogen bonds mediate the characteristic L-shaped molecular structure. tRNAs have two regions of fundamental functional importance: the anti-codon, which is responsible for specific mRNA codon recognition, and the 3' end, to which the tRNAs corresponding amino acid is attached (by aminoacyl-tRNA synthetases). tRNAs cope with the degeneracy of the genetic code in two manners: having more than one tRNA (with a specific anti-codon) for a particular amino acid; and 'wobble' base-pairing, i.e. permitting non-standard base-pairing at the 3rd anti-codon position. The record is from Rfam by way of RNAcentral. Lineage: Eukaryota; Metazoa; Chordata; Mammalia; Artiodactyla; Camelidae. RNAcentral also lists the same sequence under 3 other names.